Picea glauca (white spruce) is the source of this 123-nucleotide non-coding RNA. NCBI's taxonomy places the organism in Eukaryota, Viridiplantae, Streptophyta, Pinopsida, Pinales, Pinaceae. The record is from Rfam.
AUGUACAUUCAUACAACAUAGAAUUAAUGAAACAUAUCCCAUUAGAACUCUGUAGUUAAGCACGCUCGUGCUAGAGUAGUACUGGGAUGGGUGAUCACUCGGUAAGUCCUAGUGUUUUACAUG